Molecule: long non-coding RNA, 447 nt
Filed under: Bos mutus (wild yak)
Lineage: Eukaryota; Metazoa; Chordata; Mammalia; Artiodactyla; Bovidae
Description: lncRNA (ENSBMUG00000000741.1)
Source: RNAcentral
GCGGGGAGCAAUUCUGGCGCUGAUUGGGCGGCGGCAAAGUCGCUUGUGGAGACUGUAAGUGGGGGUGCCCUAGUGUGCUAAAUUUAUCUUCAGACAAGCGACCGCGCCAGCCGCGAAUCGGAUGUCUAUGGAGGUGGCAUAGGCGAUACCCCUGAGCUGAGAGCAUCGCCCGGCCCCCCGAAUCCUUCCUCCCUCUGUUUUGUUUUUCAUUUUCUCCCUUCCUCCCUACCCCCUCCCCCUUCCAGUCCGCGACGACUGGCUCUUGACCCCGUUCAGGCCUCGGUGAAGGCUUUUGGUUACUCCCCUUCUACCCUUUCCCUUAAUUUUAUUUUUUUGAAGAGUCUGCAUUUCAAGCUUCCAAGGUGGAAAGUGAUUGCAGAAGAGAGUGCUCCUCAUUUCAGGUUUUUCAUUUCUCCCAUCCUCUUCCCUCCCCACCCCAUCCAUUAA